This is a long non-coding RNA of Oxyura jamaicensis (ruddy duck), 2376 nucleotides long. RefSeq lists it as uncharacterized. The record is from RefSeq and is a predicted model, not a curated record. The transcript is spliced from 2 exons. NCBI's taxonomy places the organism in Eukaryota, Metazoa, Chordata, Aves, Anseriformes, Anatidae.
UUUCCCACAUUAAUCCUUUUUUUUAGGUAAGUUUAGAAGACAUACCUACAACACCUCAAUAGAGAAAUAAUCCACACAUUUAACAGAGUAAGACAUUUCAUAUUUUCGUUAUUGCUGCUGUGAGUACAGUAGUCAAUUUGAAGGCAAACGUCGUGUACUUCUGAACAAAUGCUAGUAAGUGCCCAUCACUACUUUUAAGGGCAGGAAAAUACGCUUCUUUUUGUUAGCUUAAUCUCUGUGCAAAUGAGACGUUGUAUAUAAAAAUUCUUACUACUUCAUUUGAUAUUUUUAUGUUAACGUCAUUUGACAUGAUGCAUGUUAUAAACCACUACGUGCACAUAUAUAGCUUUUAUUACAUGUAAAUAAAACCCACAUAUGUUUGCAAUCUGAGAUAGGAUUUUUUUUACCCUUAGCUAUUUGCAUGAGGAACCGUUUGAGUCCCGCCGAGAGCUUCCACAUCUGAUGGGGGCAGACCUUAGCUUUGCUAGGCAGAACAAGUUAUUUUUAUAUCUGCAUGUGUCAUUUCCUUCUUCGUCUCCAAAUGGUCAGUGCUUUUACGUCAGAGUUUAAACAAUAUACUGAGUUGAGUGUUGAACUCAGAGGUGCUUCAGUGGUGUUUGAAUGCUCGUGCUGGGCAAAAGACGGAGCAGCCCAGCCCUGCCAGAAGGUGCCAGCACUGUGGCUGGUCCAUCCGAUGCGCAUGCUUUCCUGAUACAGCCACACAUAUGGGGAAUGUGUACUAAACUCAGGACACUUGUUCCCUAAGGACUUUGCAGUGCUAGGAUAAAUGAACUUCAAGGACUCACUGUUACUCUUUGUUAGAUUAAAAUAUUUGUUAUUUGAGGUAUAUGGGGACGGAGUUGUAGACAUUCCCUUAUGCAGCUUGGUCCAUUUAGUGAAAUGUUUUCUAUUCCCUUUUCAGUAUUUCUCCGUAACAUCAAGCACAGAUAGGAUAAGAGGUGAAGAUAUCCUAAAGCAGUACUGUGCCAGAGUCUAACACUAAUGCAUGUAAGCGCUGCAAGGUACAACUUGUUUUGUUUCAAGAGUGCUCCAGACGUUUAUGAUUUUGACAGUUUCCUGCUACUGACUGCAGAACUUAGACUCUUCUACUAGGUACAGCUUACAAAUUCAGCAUAGCUUAUGAAUGUUACAAAUUUAUUUUGACUACUAGGGACCUGAUUCAGCUGCCAUUAAAACCAAAGGAGAAAGAUUCCCAGUGGUUUUGGUGGGUCUCACAUCCGUCCUUGUGUCUCUGGAGACCACUACUAUAACCAAAUGCUGAGUGUGAAUUAAAGACAAAUAUUCAAGUGUAUUUUUUUCCUUCUUGUAAUAGCUUUGGAUGAAAUUUAUUAACCACUUUCUUUGUGCUUUGUUGUAAUUCUCUCUGUCAGCCUCAAAGCACACAUAUCCUGUCCUCCAGGAAAACAUAACUGUUCCACAAAGAUCUGCGUUAGUGUGCAGAGGACAGGGUUCAAGCUUCAGGGGCCUGGGAACUGAAAAAGCACUAAACAGUCUGUCAGCUGAUAAUUUGGUCACUUCAAUUAGCAAGUCCGUGCAAAUCGAUUACUUUUACCUGUGCCUUGUAAAUGCAUUGCCCUUUCUGAGAAGGUAAAUCUGGGGAUGGAAGAGCCUUAUGGCUGGAGAGGCUGAUCCUUGUUGGAUCGAGCAGUGGGGUGUCAGGCCAUCUUACAACCAACUCUGGCACAGCCUCGGCUCUUACCUAGUGCUGCUGCUGUCCAUGGGACUGGCUGUGCUCGCAGCCAUCAGUCCUCACCGUCGGGUUGUGGUGCAGCACCUGGGAGCAGCUGCGCUGGCUCUGGCAUCUGCCUGGACAGGAUACCUGUGCAGAGAAGGCAAAGAAAGAGCCCCCCUAGAGGCUGCUGUCCACCUCCUCCCGUGCCACCAUCCCGCUCUGAGGUUCCUCGCUGUGGCUGAGCACAAUGGCUGCAGCGAAGAAAGUACUCAAAGUUCAUUGGCAAAGCAGCAUGCAGCCAGCUACUCACCUGGACCAGACCGAGCAUGUUUUUAAUCAUCUUUUUAACUGAUUAAUAUACUUUAAGAGUGACUGAGAGGCUAGUGAGAGCAGCCCAACGUUAGAUUUAAAGUUCACUAGGAAAAAAAAAAAAUCAUUCGAGGAUUUCACGAGCAAUGACACUUGGAUGGUAUUUGGGAAAUCUUUUUCUUUCAAGACUAUCUUGCGAUUAACUAUGGGAGCAGUACAUCAAAGCUGCACUGACUUCAAAGCUCAGAACCUCUUACGGCUUCCAGCUAUUACUAAAACCUACCACUUCACCCUGCCAGCAGCUCAUCUCAGCUGCCUCUGCAAGUUACACCCAUCUACUUCCUGCCUCCUGCUUUUGGGGAGGGAAAAAAAAA